This 82-nucleotide small nucleolar RNA is filed under the name Carlito syrichta (Philippine tarsier). RNAcentral describes it as "Small nucleolar RNA SNORD115 (ENSTSYG00000030673.1)". It matches the Rfam family "Small nucleolar RNA SNORD115". Rfam says of the family: HBII-52 is a member of the C/D class of snoRNAs, which contain the C (UGAUGA) and D (CUGA) box motifs. The record is from Rfam by way of RNAcentral. Lineage: Eukaryota; Metazoa; Chordata; Mammalia; Primates; Tarsiidae.
GGGUCAAUGUUGAAUACUUUAUAUUGCCUUGAGGAGAGGUGAUGAUUUAAAUAUCAAGUACAAUGGCAUGAUGCUGAGGCCC